This 465-nucleotide ribosomal RNA is filed under the name uncultured bacterium. RNAcentral describes it as "partial 16S ribosomal RNA". It matches the Rfam family "Bacterial small subunit ribosomal RNA", at positions 28 to 506 of the family's 1533-position model. The record is from RNAcentral.
GACGAACGCUGGCGGCGUGCUUAACACAUGCAAGUCGAACGGAAAGGCCCUGCUUGCAGGGUACUCGAGUGGCGAACGGGUGAGUAACACGUGGGUGAUCUGCCCUGCACUUCGGGAUAAGCUUGGGAAACUGGGUCUAAUACCGGAUAGGAGCCAUCUUUAGUGUGGUGGUUGGAAAGUUUUUUCGGUGUAGGAUGAGCUCGCGGCCUAUCAGCUUGUUGGUGGGGUAAUGGCCUACCAAGGCGGCGACGGGUAGCCGGCCUGAGAGGGUGUACGGCCACAUUGGGACUGAGAUACGGCCCAGACUCCUACGGGAGGCAGCAGUGGGGAAUAUUGCACAAUGGGCGCAAGCCUGAUGCAGCGACGCCGCGUGGGGGAUGAAGGCCUUCGGGUUGUAAACUCCUUUCGCUAGGGACGAAGCUUUGUUGUGACGGUACCUAGAUAAGAAGCACCGGCUAACUACGU